CUGAGUUCAUGAAUCUGCUUUCUGUGCUGUGGCUGAUGAUAUCAUAAAUGCUCAGAGCUGUGCUGGGAGCAAUAUCGUGAAACCAGUUCACCUUCAUUAGCCCACCAGGAAUCCAGGAAGCAGAGGGGAUAGGAAACAAGAAGCAAUGAAUAUGGUGGGAUUUACUCCUAAGUAAAAGACUUGCUGCCUCAGAACUAAAAUGUCAAUAGGAUCUUUACUUUUUGUUUCUCCUUCCACUGCUGCUCUCAUUGCUCAUAACAUCAUUUUAUUAUCAAAGAAUGGUAGAGAAAAGUGGAGCAAAGCUAAUAGUCUUUCUCUUGUAGUCUCUCUGGAUGUAGUCUUUUCAUAAGUGUCUUGAACUUGACCUCUUUUGAACGACACAAAGGUCCAACACACAUUUUAAAAAGUUAUAUUUAAAUUUUAAUGUUUUUUUUAAUUCUGCAAAGCUAUUUAAUAACACACUCUCAAAACACAGAGCAUAAAUCUUUCAGGAUGGUCAUAGAAUAAAAACUGAUGGACAAAGCAAAGAAGCUUAGCAAAUGCCCUGAAGCAGCUUUCUUUCUUUUACAUAGAUACCUACUACAGAUGAAUGUUCACAUGAUUUUUAAAAAGCUUUAUUAUGAUUUAAUCACCAUGGUGCUGAUACUAAAAAUAUAAUUUAGUAAAGAAUGGAGUUUGCUUUUUUAAUACCCCACCCCUCAUUAUAAAAAUGUUCUUUGUUGUGAGGCAAUGGGGGCAUUAGAAAGAUUUACAGUAACAAUAUAAGUGACUAUAAUGAACUUGGGAACAAGGGAGUAUUGUUAUGAUAGAGAUCUUCUAGCAUUUCUAUCAGCACAAAUAUUGAGGGACACAGUCUCCUUUCUGUGUAUCUGUAUAUUAAUAUUAACAUGAGCAGUAAUUACAGGUACUUGGGAUAAAGUUUAUUUAUGAGAACAUAAUACUUAAAGGUAAGAGCUGUAAAAAUUAAAGAUAUCUACUCGUAACAAAACCAUUAUCAACCAUAGUUUUUCUGCAAUAUUUCAAUUAUGUUUAUUCAGAAUAUCUCAGCAUCUUUAUAUUCUACUAAUAUUAUUAAUAUUAAUUUUGCAAACUUUAUUUCAACUCCUAAUAUAACUCAGCUUGGGGACUUGUCCUUAUUUAUUGAAGGACAGAACUGGCCACAUCAUCAUUUGUGUAACUAAAAAGCCCUCAAAUCCUACUGGUAUAGCAUUGAUCUUUUGCAAGUCUUAUUAAAUGAAAAAUUGGUAACCUACAUUGACGGUUUUGUUUCCUACCUUCCAAGUUUUACCUUAAAUUUUUUACAUCUUACUGUUUAUCUUUUUAAGUUGAAGAGCCUGUUCCUACAUGUCAGUGAUUCAGCGCAACCAAAAUCAUCACCAAGCUUUGAUCAAAGAAGAGAUAAGCAAGGAUAGUAUUCAGAUAAUAUUUUUACAACACUACAUCAGAAUUUUCCAGUUAAUACUCCAAGUUCAAAUAGCCUCAGAAAAUACUAUAAGAUAAAAUGGGUUUUGUUCUGUUUGUCUACAGACUGCCCCAUUCUCACCUGUUAAUUGUUUCAGACAAGCAAAUGAUGGAAGCAACUGUGAUAGAAUUUGACCAGUUUUUAAGAGUUGUCAUGGUACACGUGACCAGGACUUCUUUAGUCGUCUCCAUAUGCUGUUCUGCAAAGCCUUAAACUUGUUUAGGUUGAGAAACAUUGGUCUAAGGAGGUGGAGCAUUGCUGAGAAGACUUGAAUAUAUAAUCUCUGUCAGUGAUAUUUCUUCAGGCUUGGAAUUCUCAACAAGUCCUCCCUAAUUGAUAUCAUUGGACAUACAGAUUCAACUUGGAUGAAUUAUUAAGUUAUUUUAACUUUAAUAUAUGCAAACAGGACAUCAUGCUAGAAAAAACAAUUGUUCUCAUGUUGGAUUUUUCUAAAUAUUAAAAAGAAUCAGGGAAUAAUUUUAUAUCAAAAUAUUUAUCAUGAAGGGACAAGUUAUUGAUACAAAAAUAAUCUAUGAGAAUUUAUUUGUUAUAACACAUUAUUCAUGGGAAAUGCUGUUUAUGAGCCAUUGUUUUCCUGGUUUUAAAGAUUCAUAGGCAGCCUGUAAAUCUAUUAAUGGUUGGUAAAUCGUAGCUUCUAUGAGAGUGGUCUAGUGGCCUAGUAGUGAAGAUCCUUGCCUCCCACUUAGAAGGUUGAGAGUUCAAUCCUGGAUAGUGGCAGAGGUCUCUUUCCUAGGGUGGAAAGAAAAAUAUCUGCUCCAUAUUCUGAAUAGGCUUUUAUAAGAUUGUGAUAAAUCACCAUACUGUUCUAGAUGUAUCUUACUUUACAAGAGAUUUAAAAGAGUCCCUUAUUAUGGUUGUAAAAGCAUGUUUUUUUUUAACCUAAAACAUAAUAAUGAAAGCUAUUUGUAUGUGUGCAAUUGUUUUGAGAAUAGGUUAUCACACAGAAUAUGUGCGUAGCAGCAAAAUUCUUAUCUUAAUAUCAGAACAAUGUAUUUUUAAUUCUACAAAGUCUGAGAGGAAAAAUGCAUUAUUUCGACAUUGGGCUUAAAAACCCAAUCUAAUGAUACAUGCUGAUUUGUCAGUUUUAUCAUUUUAUUUAAAUAUCCAGUUUACUAAUAUAGAAUAUCCAAAUAUUGUUUAACAUGCGAAGUUUGUACACAUAGAACAGUUGUGAAGGGGUACAUGGGAAACUGCAAUGAAUAAGGGGUGUAGCCCUUCCACUUAUGAAAAUAGUUGGAGUGGAAGAAAUGCAUCAUGCUUUUUUUAUUCAAAAAGUCAAAAUAAUCUAGUUCAGCUAUAGUUUCUUAACAGAAUUAAUUUUAUUUAAUUUUGAAUACACUGAAUUAAUUUUGCUGUUCAUUCCUCAGGCUGUAAAGUUAUUCAUAAUAUUUAUCUUGACUCAAUCUUCUUGGUGGUUUCUUUACAUCAAUGGACAUUGUACAAUGUGUAAUAUAGUCUUGCUAAUGGGCUCACUUUCAAGUAUUUCCCCUCAAGGUUACUAUUAUUGUAGCAUUAUUUGCAGUGAUAACUCAAAUUUAAAAAAGUGUGAAAAGAGGGUGUGGUUCUCCACAAUUACCCUAAAGUUAUUUUCAAGGGUAAUUUUCUGCACUUUCUAAUUUGCUUCAAACGAUUAAGUCUGGCAUGAAAAAGUCAUUUUUUAAAUCUCUUAAAUGUUGGGAUAACUGAUCUUAGUAUCCAGCCCCUUGGAGAUUGCUGAAUCAUUACCAGAAAGAGAAACAUUGUGCAAUUGUGAACACUUGAAAAAAGUUCUAAAAAAUAUGAAGUGACUUAUAAUUUAGCUUCUGUUCUUGAUGCUGAAGAAUUACAUACAAUGGGAACUUAAUUUUUGAUCAAAUCCAAGUUCAAAUCUCAUUUUAUAAAUCUCCCUAUGAACAAUUUAGUCCAAUGAAUGCUAAAUUUGUGUCUUAGUAUUUUACAAUAAUGAAAACUGCAUGUUAUUAGUUGUAUCCCAGACUGUAUAAAGAUAUAUUUCAUGAAAAAAAAAUCUAUCUUGAUUCUAAUCGGGUUAAUGUUUCUCUCCCAUUUACAGCACUGGAAGUAUAGCAAUCUGGUCUCCAUUGAAAGUAAUGGGAAAUGGGAAAAAAUGAGUAUUGGACCUAAAAGUUACCAGGCCUCAUACGUAGAAAGUAGCUAACCAGCAGCUAACCACUACCUGUGGCUUUGAGUUGGUCAAAUGUCUUACAAAGAUGAGCACAAUUUGGAAGUAGUUGAAAUAGAAAACAAACAUCCAAAGAAACAUGUAAAACAUUUUUUACUACAUGUCAACCUUUGUUACUGAUAAGAAUAUUAUUUUAAAUAGACUGUCCUCUCAUAUAGUUUGCAUAGUAAUUAGUAGUUGGGUUUAACCCUUAACAGUUCAGCUAGUUUGUAUUUGUAAAAUAAGGUUUCAUGCUGGAAACAAAAAUAAGAACUUUUAUAGAUUUUCAUAUUUUCAUAUGGGUUAGAUCAGCUUUUGUAAAUCUCUGGCAUCGGGGAAUGCCAAGAUACUUUCAAAAUUAUAACCAACAUAUAUAGUAUUUAAAAGUAUCAACAUGUAUUUGCAAAUCUGGGUUUACCAACAUUUUCUCCAAAUGUCCCUUUUUUCUGCUGACAUAUUGUCACAUCAGAAUUGUUUUCAAGUCUAGUUUAUCAAAGAACCAAGCUAACAAACAACCUUUGAAAGGAUGUUUGCAGGGAAAGAAGUAAUAAACACAGUGUUAAAUAUUA
Pantherophis guttatus is the source of this 4210-nucleotide non-coding RNA. NCBI's taxonomy places the organism in Eukaryota, Metazoa, Chordata, Lepidosauria, Squamata, Colubridae. The record is from RefSeq and is a predicted model, not a curated record.